Molecule: long non-coding RNA, 349 nt
Organism: Osmerus eperlanus (European smelt)
Lineage: Eukaryota; Metazoa; Chordata; Actinopteri; Osmeriformes; Osmeridae
Exons: 3
Source: RefSeq, a predicted model, not a curated record
UUUGUUGAUGCAAUACAUAGUCUGUGAAAUUCGGGAUUGGCGGUGGAGUUGGAAAAAUAAAUAAAUGCUAUUUUCAAAAUUUGUCACACUGGGACACGUCAACCAAUCAACGGACCCCAUGUGGACACAUGUGGUCAAAAGAUUUAGCGGCAAAAGGGUGACCACCCAUUAACGGCAGCCUCAUAACUCGUGUUCCAGGAAAACCGGCGAGACUGUCACAUAAAGAGUCCCGUCAUGUGGUCCCACCCCGGACUGUAAUGGCUGCUGAGUGACAUUUAAAUAAAGGGUCAUCUGGCUGGACGGCUAAUGGAGGUCAACGGAGACUCAACCCCCACCAAAGGGAUGAGGC